CCCUGUGGCUCAGUUGGUAGAGCAUGGUGUUUGCAACGCCAGGGUUGUGGGUUCGAUUCCCACAGAGGGG
Molecule: transfer RNA, 70 nt
Filed under: Salmo salar (Atlantic salmon)
Lineage: Eukaryota; Metazoa; Chordata; Actinopteri; Salmoniformes; Salmonidae
Rfam family: tRNA
About the family: Transfer RNA (tRNA) molecules are approximately 80 nucleotides in length. Their secondary structure includes four short double-helical elements and three loops (D, anti-codon, and T loops).
Source: Rfam by way of RNAcentral